This 218-nucleotide long non-coding RNA is filed under the name Olea europaea (common olive). Its description in RNAcentral is "long non-coding RNA (OEUR_LNC010366)". The record is from RNAcentral. Lineage: Eukaryota; Viridiplantae; Streptophyta; Magnoliopsida; Lamiales; Oleaceae.
AUUUGGUGGGAAAAUGGGUGGCUAUGAAGAGAACUCUGAACAUUCAACAGUGAAACCAUUUCUUGAAUCUGUAAACUCCCCUUUCUUUGUUUGAGUGCAGAAGAUCAUGAAUGUGUGGGUGACGGUGGUUGCUGCCUUUGGGCCGCGUUGACGACAAUAUGUAGGUGGUAGUGGUGGCUGGCCUUUGGGUGGCAAUGUCGACAAUCGAUGUGGGUGGG